AUCCGAAGAAGGAUCUGACGAUGAUGAUGAAGAUUAGGGGAUCUCUGAAGAUGGCGACUCUUGCUGGGUGCUUUUUAGCAUCCACUUCUCAUGCGGGACCCUCAGAUCUGAUGCCUCAUGCUCCAUCCACAGCAUAGAUCCUCCAAUCCAUGGUAGAAUACUUGAGAAACCUUCUAUCGUCAGCGGAGAGGUUAUUCCUCAAUGAA
RNAcentral lists this long non-coding RNA (206 nucleotides) under Elaeis guineensis (African oil palm). Its description in RNAcentral is "long non-coding RNA (EGUI_LNC007090)". The record is from RNAcentral. Lineage: Eukaryota; Viridiplantae; Streptophyta; Magnoliopsida; Arecales; Arecaceae.